UGGAGCCCCAGGCUAGCUCCCCGUACCAUUUUUGGGCAGACACGAACUGGACAGGUCCCGUGCUUUGGGGUGAUGGGUACUGUGACGAGGCUGAGCAUUUUCAGGCCGGUAUGCGCAGUGCCAGCGCCCCGCAUGUGCCAGGGGAAAGUGGGCAUCCAGCCAGUAGGGGUGAUGCCAGCCCUGUGCUCGAGACCGCCAAUGCGCCUCUACGGUCCAGUGUUUCCCGCUACACGCACUAGCCUUGAGGUGCGUGUCUCCAGGCUGGCACGUCCACCCCACGCAUCAGGCUUCUAGUGCGUCAGCCCAGCCUCGCUAUUCUGGAGCCGCCAGAGCCGCCAGCCAUUCUGGAGCCGCCAGAGACGCCAGCCAGUCUGGAGCCGCCAGAGCCGCCAGUCAGUCUGGAGCCGCCAGAGCCGCCAGCCAGUCUGGAGCUGCCAGCCAGUCUGGAGCCGCCAGCCAGUCUGGAGCCGCCAGAGCCGCCAGCCAGUCUGGAGCCGCCAGAGCCGCCAGCCAGGCCGGAGCCGCCAGGGACAUCAGCCAGGCGAGCGCAGCAAGUGUCGCCCGCCAACCGGGCGCAGCCAGGGUCGCCCGCCAGCCGGGCGCAGCAGGAAUCGCCAGCCUGGCGCAGUCAGGGUCGCCCACCAGUCCUCCGACGCGGCCAGGGGCGCCACCUAAGUGUGCGACGCUGAGGGUGGAGCGGGGAUGAACACUAACUCCGCUGCACCUUGAUCCCAUUCUCUUUUCCACGACAGUUGUGACAGGUGUAGGCAAUCAUUGUAAAUAAGAAUUUGUUCUGAACUGACUUGCCUAGUUAAAUAAAGGUUACAUUUAAGUAAAUGUAAUUGCUAAAAUAUACUUAAGUAUCAAAAGUAAAAGUAAAAAUAACUUGAAAUUCCUUAUAUUAA
RNAcentral lists this long non-coding RNA (905 nucleotides) under Salmo salar (Atlantic salmon). RNAcentral's name for it is "lncRNA (ENSSSAG00000120786.1)". Lineage: Eukaryota; Metazoa; Chordata; Actinopteri; Salmoniformes; Salmonidae. The record is from RNAcentral.